CGUGGAAUGAAAAUAUUUUUUUUAAAAGAAUUCCACCCAGAAUGUGAACCAUGGUUCUUGUGCAUAAGAGAUUGUAUAGUUGUAAGUUGGAAAGAUGUACCUGUGAUUUUCUUGUAGGUUUUGCAGCUGCUGUCUCAAGAUUGCUGCCUCCCUUUGCCAGAACUGAUGAGGCUCUGUGGGAUCAAAGACUAUAUGGAUGAAGAUGACAGCGUAAUGCUCCUCAGGAAACAUGACUCGCUCUAUUGGUAUGAGAUACCCUGUCAGAAUUGGAAUAACAUCAUCCUUCCCUCUGAGUCCCAUGUCCUGUUUAGAUUGUGUGUAGGAACUAACUAGAUCAGCGAGUGAAGAGUUGACGGUUGCAUAAUCCCUCAACCUUGUAUGAGAUUAAUGCUACAGUGGCAGGCAUCAUGAGUUGUUAACCCCAAAAGUAGGUAGCAGGGCUAUGUAGUGGGUAGCUGAAGCCAAGGCGACACAAGGGUAAAUGGAAGUAACUCAGGUUGUGCUGCGUAAAGACAAGAUUUAUCCAGUGUGGUUACAUCUACAUGGGAAAUUGGCGGGAGAAAUUUUUGGCACAAAAAUUGAGCUUUCUGGAAGAUUUUUAGAUCUACUGAAGCUAAUCUUGAAAGUGAAUCAGAAGCCAACCACAAGAGGGAAGGAGAGGCAGAGGGAUGUGAGUGUAGUCGUCAGGGUUAGUACGGAAGGUGAGGCAUCUAGUGCAAAAGAGAGAGUUCAUCAUGGACUUGUUCGAGGUCGAAAUUCCUCCAUCGUAUAAUAUUUCAUUUGGUUGAAAUUUGCA
Non-coding RNA from Punica granatum (pomegranate), 796 nucleotides. NCBI's taxonomy places the organism in Eukaryota, Viridiplantae, Streptophyta, Magnoliopsida, Myrtales, Lythraceae. The record is from RefSeq and is a predicted model, not a curated record.